RNAcentral lists this ribosomal RNA (423 nucleotides) under Triticum aestivum (bread wheat). Its description in RNAcentral is "partial small subunit ribosomal RNA". Lineage: Eukaryota; Viridiplantae; Streptophyta; Magnoliopsida; Poales; Poaceae. The record is from RNAcentral.
AUGGAACCAUUUUCGGAAAUAAGGGAUGGGCUGGGACUGGAGGACAUGGUUGGUCAGCAUGGAGAUGGUGUUAAUAUCCAUGUGAAUGCUGACCAGCUUGCUGCACAUACGACAGUUGUUGCAGCAAGUGGAGGUGCAAGCUUCGGGAUUGUGAAUGAUGAUGCUACUUCUGCAAAUGAGAGUGGGAAUAGACCAGUGGUUUGUUGGCGCCAAAGAAAAGGAAAGAAAUUGGGCGCCCGACAACUAGCCGUGAGAAGGCACCGUACGAGGAGCUCAGCAAGCGGACCAGGUUCUGUAGCAUAUGUCGGCAGCAACACUACUAGGGAAAAGCUUAUAGGCAGACGCUUACUAGUAGCGAGGGUCUAUAACCCUCGCUACUGCUCCUUAUUAGUAGCAUGUGUUUUUACCCCUCGCUACUACUAA